UGCCGGAGUGGUGUCCACUCGCUCCCCAUUCUCUUUUCUUUGUCUCCCUCUAGUGUCCCAUGUCAGCUGUCGCAUCCGACGACUCGGCUGGCCACGUGGUCGAUCCUGUGCAGCACACACACCGGUACAUUCAGGAGCACAAGCUGAAUGAGCUCUUUGGGCAUCUGCUGCAACUUGUCCUCUACCACCGCCCUGAUGACCCGCGUGCCUUUCUCGCCGAAGAGGUACGCAGGAUUCGCGAGGAAAAAGUCUCCUCGUCGCUCUUCACGGAGCGGGAUCUCGAGACGAUGUUUGAGAUGAUUGAUGUGACGGCGCAGCGGUGGAUCACGGUCGCGCAACUGCGUAAUACGUGCCGAAACCUUGCGACAGCCUCCUCGGCGGGCACCGGGAGCACCGGUGGGGGCGGUCUUACAGCAGAGCAGGAGGCUGCGAUUGCUGGCGCAGGUGACGCAGCAGGACGCGUCACCAUGGAGAACUUCAAGGGGGUGCUUUCCUCGCUCCUUCUGACCAAGAAUAAGUGGUCUUAGAGGCCCACGUGGCGGAAUAGGAGACCGUAUCUGUGAGCUGGUUGCGUCCCUCCUUUCCCGCAGGAUGUAGACUACGUUUUCGGGUGCGCACUGCAGCUACGCUCGUGGGGGUCGCGGAGGGGGGGGGGAGAAGCCGCGUGCCAUAUUUGGGCUUGAAAUCGACGAGUAAGAAGUACUGCCUUACGUUGUUGUGCGGACAAACUGCAGUGAAGCAGAGCUACCUCUUUCUGCCACAUCUGGAAGUGGCCCUCCCAUCUCUGCUGCUGGUGGGUGUGAGGACAACACUGAACAGACGUUGGGCCCACGGCCGCUUCGUCUCAGCACUUUUUUUGCUUGAGCCCCUCCCCCUCCUCUUCCCCCCCCCCCACCACACACACACACACACACACACACCUUCUUUCC
RNAcentral lists this unclassified non-coding RNA (929 nucleotides) under Leishmania donovani. Its description in RNAcentral is "gene:LdHU3.36.1940(CDS-product:hypothetical_prote in_conserved)". Lineage: Eukaryota; Euglenozoa; Kinetoplastea; Trypanosomatida; Trypanosomatidae. The record is from RNAcentral.